GAUGAACGCUAGCGGCAGGCUUAACACAUGCAAGUCGAGGGGUAUGCCGAUUUAUCGGCAGAGACCGGCGCACGGUGCGUAACGCGUAUGCAAUCUACCUUUCACAGAGGGAUAGCCCAGAGAAAUUUGGAUUAAUACCUCAUAGUAUAGCAGUUUCGCAUGAAACCACUAUUAAAGUUCCAACGGUGAAAGAUGAGCAUGCGUCCCAUUAGCUAGAUGGUAAGGUAACGGCUUACCAUGGCUACGAUGGGUAGGGGUCCUGAGAGGGAGAUCCCCCCACACUGGUACUGAGACACGGACCAGACUCCUACGGGAGGCAGCAGUGAGGAAUAUUGGUCAAUGGACGCAAGUCUGAACCAGCCAUGCCGCGUGCAGGAUGACGGUCCUAUGGAUUGUAAACUGCUUUUAUACAGGAAGAAACACUACUUCGUGAAGUAGCUUGACGGUACUGUAAGAAUAAGGAUCGGCUAACUCCGUGCCAG
Molecule: ribosomal RNA, 482 nt
Filed under: uncultured bacterium
Lineage: Bacteria
Description: bacterial SSU rRNA
Rfam family: Bacterial small subunit ribosomal RNA
Source: RNAcentral